RNAcentral lists this long non-coding RNA (1415 nucleotides) under Numida meleagris (helmeted guineafowl). RNAcentral describes it as "lncRNA (ENSNMEG00000013728.1)". The record is from RNAcentral. Lineage: Eukaryota; Metazoa; Chordata; Aves; Galliformes; Numididae.
CCUUUUUAGCCCCUGUCUCAUCCCUUCCUGGCUCAAGGUCCUCCCCUGUCGUGAGGCUGAGCAGGUGCUGUAGGCAGGACAAGCCAGCCGUGGGUGGAAAUCUCUCAGCCACACAUCUUCCUUUUGCUGGACAAACAAAUAGCAUCUCCAGCUGUUCUGUUAACUUCAUGUGAUGCGAAAGACACGCAAGCAAUACACAUUUCUGCAAACUCAGUGUGCUGAGAUGGGAAUUCCCACAUGUAAGCCACAGGGCCACCCCAGGAGCUGCCUUUGUGAAAACCUUUCUGGACAUGGAGAGCUUCAUGGCACACCAACACCUUUAAGUAGUGAGGAGUUCAUUUAUGACUUGCUGAAGGCAUCCUUGAUUUUCAGUUUGGGGAGUCAGGCUGACAGUAUUUACCAAGUCUUUGUUUAAGUGUACAAGCCUCCUGUUUUAGCUUUUCUAUCUGGGUAUUCCUGCAGAGAUACAAGAAGUCAGAUGGACUAGAAAGGUGGAAGAAUAUGUAUCAUAAACUCCCCUGCAACUUAAGCAGAGGCAGCACAUGGUAACAGAGAUUACAGCUUAAUGAAUGGCACCUAACAUGCACUCACGUCUAUGAAUCCCUCUGCUUAGGGCUUGAUUAUCUAAUCAGUGAUUCAAAAUUACACAAACAAACAGACUGUAUUUGUAAACAAGGUCUAUAUUCUCAUUGUGCAAAGUGAUUAGCACAUGACACAGAUGACCAUAUGCACUCAUAGCCCCAUCUGGACAAUGUGCAUCCACAAAGUGCAAGCUGAUGGGCCUCAUUCUGACCUCUCAUUGGUUUACAUGGAUUUUGUCAGUGCAUGUCCUGAUCCACACCAGCGACAGCAGAACUCGCUACUUUCUCCCCAGUGCUUUUAAAAAUUUGCAUCAAAAUCUUGCAGUGAGCAGGUGGUGAACUGCCUUUUGCUUUGGGAAUCACUAAAAACCUGAAGUCCUGUGCUGCAUCUGUAGGAAGACCACCAAAUUUACCUUCUUUUCUAACCUACCAAAAAAUAAGAUGAAUACAUAGCACUCAUAGGAAGAGAGAGCCUGCUUCUAUUCUUGGGUUCAUUUUAUUUGCAAAAGCAGGAAGACCAAGAAGUACUGCUUGUCAAAAGCCAGAACAGGGUGUCUGCUUUCUGAAUGGUACAUUUCAAAAUUGAGACACUUCACCAGAGGAUAAAUGAACCCUGCAGCAACCUGAACACUUUAAAAUACAUUACCGUGUGCCUGGGGAGAAUUGUUCACUCCCUGCUGGUGUAAGUUGGUUUAACAUCAGCAGAGCAGCAAACAUGGGAGAGGCAAAACCUUUUUCUCUUUUAAAUCUCAGCUUAAAUACAAAACAACUACUUACAGGCAAAGCUAGGAGGAAAAUGAGUUUUACCUGGACUCCAGCAGAACCUCUUCUUAC